UGGGGAAUAUUGCACAAUGGGCGCAAGCCUGAUGCAGCCAUGCCGCGUGUGUGAAGAAGGCCUUCGGGUUGUAAAGCACUUCAGCGAGGAGGAAGGUGGUGAACUUAAUACGUUCAUCAAUUGACGUUACUCGCAGAAGAAGCACCGGCUAACUCCGUGCCAGCAGCCGCGGUAAUACGGAGGGUGCAAGCGUUAAUCGGAAUUACUGGGCGUAAAGCGCACGCAAGGCGGUUUGUUAAGUCAGAUGUGAAAUCCCCGGGCUCAACCUGGGAACUGCAUUUGAAACUGGCAAGCUAGAGUCUCGUAGAGGGGGGUAGAAUUCCAGGUGUAGCGGUGAAAUGCGUAGAGAUCUGGAGGAAUACCGGUGGCGAAGGCGGCCCCCUGGACGAAGACUGACGCUCAGGUGCGAAAGCGUGGGGAGCAAAACAGGAUUAGAUACCCUGGUAGUCCACGCUGUAAAACGAUGUCGAUUUGGAGGUUGUGCCCUUGAGGCGUGGCUUCCGGAGCUAACGCG
This 514-nucleotide ribosomal RNA is filed under the name uncultured bacterium. RNAcentral's name for it is "partial 16S ribosomal RNA". It matches the Rfam family "Bacterial small subunit ribosomal RNA", at positions 355 to 859 of the family's 1533-position model. The record is from RNAcentral.